GGAGAGGUGGCCGAGCGGCUGAAGGCGCUCCCCUGCUAAGGGAGUAUGCGAGAGAUCGUAUCGAGGGUUCGAAUCCCUUCCUCUCCUCCA
Molecule: transfer RNA, 90 nt
Filed under: Hirschia baltica ATCC 49814
Lineage: Bacteria; Pseudomonadati; Pseudomonadota; Alphaproteobacteria; Hyphomonadales; Hyphomonadaceae
Also listed under: 1 other name
Description: tRNA-Ser (GCT) (tRNA-Ser-GCT-1-1)
Rfam family: tRNA
About the family: Transfer RNA (tRNA) molecules are approximately 80 nucleotides in length. Their secondary structure includes four short double-helical elements and three loops (D, anti-codon, and T loops).
Source: RNAcentral